UACGAAGGGGGCUAGCGUUGCUCGGAAUCACUGGGCGUAAAGCGCACGUAGGCGGAUUGCUAAGUCAGGGGUGAAAUCCUGGAGCUCAACUCCAGAACUGCCUUUGAUACUGAGAAGCUUGAGUCCGGGAGAGGUGAGUGGAACUGCGAGUGUAGAGGUGAAAUUCGUAGAUAUUCGCAAGAACACCAGUGGCGAAGGCGGCUCACUGGCCCGGUACUGACGCUGAGGCACGAAAGCGUGGGGAGCAAACAGG
This 253-nucleotide ribosomal RNA is filed under the name uncultured bacterium. RNAcentral describes it as "partial 16S ribosomal RNA". It matches the Rfam family "Bacterial small subunit ribosomal RNA", at positions 524 to 776 of the family's 1533-position model. The record is from RNAcentral.